UACGGAGGGUGCAAGCGUUAUCCGGAUUCACUGGGUUUAAAGGGUGCGUAGGUGGGUUGGUAAGUCAGUGGUGAAAUCCCCGAGCUUAACUUGGGAACUGCCAUUGAUACUAUCAGUCUUGAAUACCGUGGAGGUUAGCGGAAUAUGUCAUGUAGCGGUGAAAUGCUUAGAUAUGACAUAGAACACCAAUUGCGAAGGCAGCUGGCUACACGAAUAUUGACACUGAGGCACGAAAGCGUGGGGAUUAAACAGG
Molecule: ribosomal RNA, 253 nt
Filed under: uncultured bacterium
Lineage: Bacteria
Description: partial 16S ribosomal RNA
Rfam family: Bacterial small subunit ribosomal RNA
Source: RNAcentral